Molecule: non-coding RNA, 110 nt
Organism: Pantoea stewartii subsp. stewartii DC283
Lineage: Bacteria; Pseudomonadati; Pseudomonadota; Gammaproteobacteria; Enterobacterales; Erwiniaceae
Source: Rfam
UGAACGUCAAUACGGUCUGAAUGCGACGCUUACCCAGAAGCGCGAAGUCGUGGUGUUGAUGUGUGAUGCGACCGGUCUGUCGCAACGCCGUGCCUGCAGUCUGGCUGGUC